UACGAAGGGUGCAAGCGUUGUUCGGAAUUACUGGGCGUAAAGGGCGCGUAGGCGGCCACCGCAAGUCGACUGUGAAAUCUCCGGGCUUAACCCGGAAAGGUCAGCCGAUACUGCGGGGCUAGAGUGCGGUAGAGGGUGGUGGAAUUCCCGGUGUAGCAGUGAAAUGCGUAGAGAUCGGGAGGAACAUCAGUUGCGAAGGCGGCCACCUGGACCAGCACUGACACUGAGGCACGAAAGCGUGGGGAGCAAACAGG
Molecule: ribosomal RNA, 254 nt
Filed under: uncultured bacterium
Lineage: Bacteria
Description: partial 16S ribosomal RNA
Rfam family: Bacterial small subunit ribosomal RNA
Source: RNAcentral